UACGAGGGGUGCAAGCGUUAUCCGGAAUUAUUGGGCGUAAAGGGCGCGUAGGUUGCUUGUUAAGUCUGUUGUUAAAUCUCCCGGCCUAACCGGGAACAUGCAAUAGAUACUGGUGAGCUAGAGGGUGGAAGAGAGAGGUGGAAUUCUCGGAGUAGCGGUAAAAUGCGUAGAUCUCGAGAGGAACACCGAUGGCGAAGGCAGCCUCUUGGUCCAUACCUGACACUGAUGCGCGAAAGCGUGGGGAGCAAACAGG
Molecule: ribosomal RNA, 253 nt
Filed under: uncultured bacterium
Lineage: Bacteria
Description: partial 16S ribosomal RNA
Rfam family: Bacterial small subunit ribosomal RNA
Source: RNAcentral